Molecule: non-coding RNA, 97 nt
Filed under: bovine gut metagenome
Description: SAM riboswitch (S box leader)
Rfam family: SAM riboswitch aptamer (S box leader)
About the family: The SAM riboswitch is found upstream of a number of genes which code for proteins involved in methionine or cysteine biosynthesis in Gram-positive bacteria.
Source: RNAcentral
CUUAUCCGGAGUGACGGAGGGAACAGGCCCUAUGAAGUCCGACAACCUGCCUAAAAAAGGUAAGGUGCCAAAUCCUGCGGUUCAGCCGAAAGAUGAG